AAGGAAUAAGCUCACUGCCAAAGCU
RNAcentral lists this non-coding RNA (25 nucleotides) under Cricetulus griseus (Chinese hamster). Lineage: Eukaryota; Metazoa; Chordata; Mammalia; Rodentia; Cricetidae. The record is from RNAcentral.